RNAcentral lists this ribosomal RNA (497 nucleotides) under uncultured bacterium. RNAcentral's name for it is "partial 16S ribosomal RNA". It matches the Rfam family "Bacterial small subunit ribosomal RNA", at positions 28 to 507 of the family's 1533-position model. The record is from RNAcentral.
GACGAACGCUGGCGGCGUGCCUAAUACAUGCAAGUAGAACGCUGAAGAGAGGAGCUUACUCUUCUUGGAUGAGUUGCGAACGGGUGAGUAACGCGUAGGUAACCUGCCUUGUAGCGGGGGAUAACUAUUGGAAACGAUAGCUAAUACCGCAUAACAAUGGAUGACACAUGUCAUUUAUUUGAAAGGGGCAAUUGCUCCACUACAAGAUGGACCUGCGUUGUAUUAGCUAGUAGGUGAGGUAACGGCUCACCUAGGCGACGAUACAUAGCCGACCUGAGAGGGAGGUCGGCCACACUGGGACUGGGACACGGCCCAGGCCCCUACGGGGGGGAGCAGUAGGGAAUCUUCGGACAUGGGGGCAACCCUGACCGAGCCACGCCGCGUGAGUGAAGAAGGUUUUCGGCUCGUAAAGCUCUGUUGUAAGUCAAGAACGGGUGUGAGAGUGGAAAGUUCACACUGUGACGGUAGCUUACCAGAAAGGGACGGCUAACUACGUG